This 283-nucleotide ribosomal RNA is filed under the name uncultured bacterium. RNAcentral describes it as "partial 16S ribosomal RNA". It matches the Rfam family "Bacterial small subunit ribosomal RNA", at positions 773 to 1060 of the family's 1533-position model. The record is from RNAcentral.
GUGGAUUAGAUACCCUGGUAGUCCACGCCCUAAACGAUGAACACUCGCUGUUGGCGAUACACAGUCAGCGGCUAAGCGAAAGCGUUAAGUGUUCCACCUGGGGAGUACGCCCGCAAGGGUGAAACUCAAAGGAAUUGACGGGGGCCCGCACAAGCGGAGGAGCAUGUGGUUUAAUUCGAUGAUACGCGAGGAGCCUUACCCGGGCUUGAAAGUUAGUGAAUGAUCUAGAGAUAGAUCAGUGAGCAAUCACACGAAACUAGGUGCUGCAUGGCCGUCGACAGCU